GAAAUGCGAUAAGUAGUGUGAAUUGCAGAAUUCAGUGAAUCAUCGAAUCUUUGAACGCACAUUGCGCCCCUUGGUAUUCCAUGGGGCAUGCCUGUUCGAGCGUCAUUUGUACCCUCAAGCUCUGCUUGGUGUUGGGUGUUUGUCCCGUCUCCGCGCGUGGACUCGCCCCAAAGUGAUUGGCAGCCGGCGUACUGGUCCCGGAGCGCAGCACAUGUCGCGCAAACGAGUGCCUUGGUACGGCGGCGUCCAUAAGCCCCUCUCUCACGCUCUUGACCUCGGAUCAGGUAGGGAUACCCGCUGAACUUAAAC
This 309-nucleotide unclassified non-coding RNA is filed under the name plant metagenome. RNAcentral's name for it is "partial contains 5.8S ribosomal RNA, internal transcribed spacer 2, and large subunit ribosomal RNA". The stretch from base 1 to 105 matches the Rfam family "5.8S ribosomal RNA", at positions 50 to 154 of the family's 154-position model. The record is from RNAcentral.